UUAAGCGACUAAGCGUACACGGUGGAUGCCCUGGCAGUCAGAGGCGAUGAAGGACGUGCUAAUCUGCGAAAAGCGUCGGUAAGGUGAUAUGAACCGUUACAGCCGGCGAUGUCCGAAUGGGGAAACCCAGUGCAAUUCGUUGCACUAUCGUUAACUGAAUACAUAGGUUAACGAGGCGAACCGGGGGAACUGAAACAUCUAAGUACCCCGAGGAAAAGAAAUCAACCGAGAUUCCCCCAGUAGCGGCGAGCGAACGGGGAGCAGCCCAGAGUCUGAAUCAGCUUGUGUGUUAGUGGAACGGUCUGGAAAGUCCGACGGUACAGGGUGAUAGUCCCGUACACCAAAAUGCACAGGUUGUGAACUCGAAGAGUAGGGCGGGACACGUGGUAUCCUGUCUGAAUAUGGGGGGACCAUCCUCCAAGGCUAAAUACUCCUGACUGACCGAUAGUGAACCAGUACCGUGAGGGAAAGGCGAAAAGAACCCCGGCGAGGGGAGUGAAAAAGAACCUGAAACCGUGUACGUACAAGCAGUGGGAGCACCUUCGGGUGUGACUGCGUACCUUUUGUAUAAUGGGUCAGCGACUUAUAUUCUGUAGCAAGGUUAACCGUAUAGGGGAGCCGCAGGGAAACCGAGUCUUAACUGGGCGUUAAGUUGCAGGGUAUAGACCCGAAACCCGGUGAUCUAGCCAUGGGCAGGUUGAAGGUUGGGUAACACUAACUGGAGGACCGAACCGACUAAUGUUGAAAAAUUAGCGGAUGACUUGUGGCUGGGGGUGAAAGGCCAAUCAAACCGGGAGAUAGCUGGUUCUCCCCGAAAGCUAUUUAGGUAGCGCCUCGUGAACUCAUCUUCGGGGGUAGAGCACUGUUUCGGCUAGGGGGUCAUCCCGACUUACCAACCCGAUGCAAACUACGAAUACCGAAGAAUGUUAUCACGGGAGACACACGGCGGGUGCUAACGUCCGUCGUGAAGAGGGAAACAACCCAGACCGCCAGCUAAGGUCCCAAAGUCAUGGUUAAGUGGGAAACGAUGUGGGAAGGCACAGACAGCCAGGAUGUUGGCUUAGAAGCAGCCAUCAUUUAAAGAAAGCGUAAUAGCUCACUGGUCGAGUCGGCCUGCGCGGAAGAUGUAACGGGGCUAAACCAUGCACCGAAGCUGCGGCAGCGACACUAUGUGUUGUUGGGUAGGGGAGCGUUCUGUAAGCCUGCGAAGGUGUGCUGUGAGGCAUGCUGGAGGUAUCAGAAGUGCGAAUGCUGACAUAAGUAACGAUAAAGCGGGUGAAAAGCCCGCUCGCCGGAAGACCAAGGGUUCCUGUCCAACGUUAAUCGGGGCAGGGUGAGUCGACCCCUAAGGCGAGGCCGAAAGGCGUAGUCGAUGGGAAACAGGUUAAUAUUCCUGUACUUGGUGUUACUGCGAAGGGGGGACGGAGAAGGCUAUGUUAGCCGGGCGACGGUUGUCCCGGUUUAAGCAUGUAGGCUGGUUAUCCAGGCAAAUCCGGAUAAUCAAGGCUGAGGUGUGAUGACGAGGCACUACGGUGCUGAAGUAACAAAUGCCCUGCUUCCAGGAAAAGCCUCUAAGCAUCAGGUAACAUCAAAUCGUACCCCAAACCGACACAGGUGGUCAGGUAGAGAAUACCAAGGCGCUUGAGAGAACUCGGGUGAAGGAACUAGGCAAAAUGGUGCCGUAACUUCGGGAGAAGGCACGCUGGUGUGUAGGUGAAGUCCCUGCGGAUGGAGCUGAGACCAGUCGAAGAUACCAGCUGGCUGCAACUGUUUAUUAAAAACACAGCACUGUGCAAACACGAAAGUGGACGUAUACGGUGUGACGCCUGCCCGGUGCCGGAAGGUUAAUUGAUGGGGUUAUCCGUAAGGAGAAGCUCUUGAUCGAAGCCCCGGUAAACGGCGGCCGUAACUAUAACGGUCCUAAGGUAGCGAAAUUCCUUGUCGGGUAAGUUCCGACCUGCACGAAUGGCGUAAUGAUGGCCAGGCUGUCUCCACCCGAGACUCAGUGAAAUUGAACUCGCUGUGAAGAUGCAGUGUACCCGCGGCAAGACGGAAAGACCCCGUGAACCUUUACUAUAGCUUGACACUGAACAUUGAGCCUUGAUGUGUAGGAUAGGUGGGAGGCUUUGAAGCGUGGACGCCAGUCUGCGUGGAGCCAACCUUGAAAUACCACCCUUUAAUGUUUGAUGUUCUAACGUUGGCCCCUGACCGGGGUUGCGGACAGUGUCUGGUGGGUAGUUUGACUGGGGCGGUCUCCUCCCAAAGCGUAACGGAGGAGCACGAAGGUUAGCUAAUCCUGGUCGGACAUCAGGAGGUUAGUGCAAUGGCAUAAGCUAGCUUGACUGCGAGCGUGACGGCGCGAGCAGGUGCGAAAGCAGGUCAUAGUGAUCCGGUGGUUCUGAAUGGAAGGGCCAUCGCUCAACGGAUAAAAGGUACUCCGGGGAUAACAGGCUGAUACCGCCCAAGAGUUCAUAUCGACGGCGGUGUUUGGCACCUCGAUGUCGGCUCAUCACAUCCUGGGGCUGAAGUAGGUCCCAAGGGUAUGGCUGUUCGCCAUUUAAAGUGGUACGCGAGCUGGGUUUAGAACGUCGUGAGACAGUUCGGUCCCUAUCUGCCGUGGGCGCUGGAGAAUUGAGGGGGCUGCUCCUAGUACGAGAGGACCGGAGUGGACGCAUCACUGGUGUUCGGGUUGUCAUGCCAAUGGCACUGCCCGGUAGCUAAAUGCGGAAGAGAUAAGUGCUGAAAGCAUCUAAGCACGAAACUUGCCCCGAGAUGAGUUCUCCCUGAGACUAUAAGUCUCCUGAAGGAACGUUAAAGACGAUGACGUUGAUAGGCCGGGUGUGUAAGCGCAGCGAUGCGUUGAGCUAACCGGUACUAAUGAACCGUGAGGCUUAACCUU
RNAcentral lists this ribosomal RNA (2899 nucleotides) under Klebsiella pneumoniae. RNAcentral's name for it is "bacterial LSU rRNA". It matches the Rfam family "Bacterial large subunit ribosomal RNA". The record is from RNAcentral. Lineage: Bacteria; Pseudomonadati; Pseudomonadota; Gammaproteobacteria; Enterobacterales; Enterobacteriaceae.